CGACGUGUCCGGCGCGUGCCCACACACGAGCCAGAGCGCCAGAUUCAUCGGCGCGGUUUAUUGCCUAGCAUUCACCCCCGAAACCGUGUCCUAGAGAAGACUGGGUUCGUCGUCGUCGAUCUCCCCCAGCAGGGCUUGCUCCGGCGUCGGUGGUUUCCCCUCCUCGGACACUCCCUCUUGAAGUGACCGCGUUCGUUGUAGUGGUAG
Molecule: long non-coding RNA, 207 nt
Filed under: Hordeum vulgare
Lineage: Eukaryota; Viridiplantae; Streptophyta; Magnoliopsida; Poales; Poaceae
Description: long non-coding RNA (HVUL_LNC016898)
Source: RNAcentral